AGAGUUUGAUCAUGGCUCAGGACGAACGCUGGCGGUAUGCUUAAUACAUGCAAGUCGAACGGAGCUUAGCGGAAGCUUGCUUCUGCGAAAGCUUAGUGGCGGACGGGUGAGUAACGCGUGAGUAACCUGCCUUAAAGAGGGGGAUAACACAGAGAAAUUUGUGCUAAUACCGCAUAAUGUAGCGAAGCCGCAUGACUUUGCUACCAAAGGUCAGCCGCUUUAAGAUGGACUCGCGUCCGAUUAGGUAGUUGGUGAGGUAACGGCCCACCAAGCCGACGAUCGGUAGCCGGACUGAGAGGUCGAACGGCCACAUUGGGACUGAGACACGGCCCAGACUCCUACGGGAGGCAGCAGUAGGGAAUAUUGCGCAAUGGGGGCAACCCUGACGCAGCAAUACCGCGUGAAGGAUGACGGUUUUCGGAUUGUAAACUUCAGCAAGCAGGGAAGAAAAAAAUGACGGUACCUGAACAAAAGCCGCGGCUAACUACGUGCCAGCAGCCGCGGUAAUACGUAGGUGGCAAGCGUUGUCCGGAUUUACUGGGUGUAAAGGGCGUGUAGGCGGGUGCCUAAGUCAGACGUGAAAUACCGGGGCUCAACUCCGGGGCUGCGUUUGAAACUGGGUGUCUUGAGUGCAGGAAAGGAUAGCGGAAUUCCUAGUGUAGCGGUGAAAUGCGUAGAGAUUAGGAGGAACACCAGUGGCGAAGGCGGCUAUCUGGACUGUAACUGACGCUGAGGCGCGAAAGUGUGGGGAGCAAACAGGAUUAGAUACCCUGGUAGUCCACACCGUAAACGAUGGAUACUAGGUGUCGGGGGUAUCGAGCCCCUCGGUGCCGCAGUUAACACAAUAAGUAUCCCACCUGGGGAGUACGAUCGCAAGGUUGAAACUCAAAGGAAUUGACGGGGACCCGCACAAGCAGUGGAGUAUGUGGUUUAAUUCGAUGAUACGCGAGGAACCUUACCCGGGCUUGAACUGCCAGCGAACGAUUCAGAGAUGAUGAGGCCCUUCGGGGCGCUGGUGGAGGUGCUGCAUGGUUGUCGUCAGCUCGUGCCGUGAGGUGUCGGCUUAAGUGCCAUAACGAGCGCAACCCCUUUCUCCAGUUGCCAUCAGGUUAAGCUGGGCACUCUGGAGACACUGCCACCGUAAGGUGUGAGGAAGGUGGGGAUGACGUCAAAUCAGCACGGCCCUUACGUCCGGGGCUACACACGUGUUACAAUGGGUGGUACAGAGAGUCGGUCGCUGGCAAUAGCGAUCCAAUCCUAAAAGCCAUCCUCAGUUCGGAUUGGGGUCUGCAACCCGACCCCAUGAAGCUGGAUUCGCUAGUAAUCGCGCAUCAGCCAUGGCGCGGUGAAUACGUUCCCGGGCCUUGUACACACCGCCCGUCAAGCCAUGAAAGCCGGGGGCGCCUGAAGUCCGUGACCGCGAGGGUCGGCCUAGGGUGAAACCGGUGAUUGGGGCUAAGUCGUAACAAGGUAACCGUA
This 1479-nucleotide ribosomal RNA is filed under the name uncultured rumen bacterium. Its description in RNAcentral is "partial 16S ribosomal RNA". It matches the Rfam family "Bacterial small subunit ribosomal RNA". The record is from RNAcentral.